AAUUCGCCCUUAKAGUUGGAUCCUGGCUCAKAUUGAACGCUGGCGGCAGGCUUAACACAUGCAAGUCGAGCGGGGAAGGGUAGCUUGCUACCUGACCUAGCGGCGGACGGGUGAGUAAUGCUUAGGAAUCUGCCUAUUAGUGGGGGACAACAUUCCGAAAGGAAUGCUAAUACCGCAUACGCCCUACGGGGGAAAGCAGGGGAUCUUCGGACCUUGCGCUAAUAGAUGAGCCUAAGUCAGAUUAGCUAGUUGGUGGGGUAAAGGCCUACCAAGGCGACGAUCUGUAGCGGGUCUGAGAGGAUGAUCCGCCACACUGGGACUGAGACACGGCCCAGACUCCUACGGGAGGCAGCAGUGGGGAAUAUUGGACAAUGGGCGAGAGCCUGAUCCAGCCAUGCCGCGUGUGUGAAGAAGGCCUUUUGGUUGUAAAGCACUUUAAGCGAGGAGGAGGCUACUUGGAUUAAUACUCUAGGAUAGUGGACGUUACUCGCAGAAUAAGCACCGGCUAACUCUGUGCCAGCAGCCGCGGUAAUACAGAGGGUGCGAGCGUUAAUCGGAUUUACUGGGCGUAAAGCGUGCGUAGGCGGCUUUUUAAGUCGGAUGUGAAAUCCCUGAGCUUAACUUAGGAAUUGCAUUCGAUACUGGGAAGCUAGAGUAUGGGAGAGGAUGGUAGAAUUCCAGGUGUAGCGGUGAAAUGCGUAGAGAUCUGGAGGAAUACCGAUGGCGAAGGCAGCCAUCUGGCCUAAUACUGACGCUGAGGUACGAAAGCAUGGGGAGCAAACAGGAUUAGAUACCCUGGUAGUCCAUGCCGUAAACGAUGUCUACUAGCCGUUGGGGCCUUUGAGGCUUUAGUGGCGCAGCUAACGCGAUAAGUAGACCGCCUGG
This 885-nucleotide ribosomal RNA is filed under the name uncultured bacterium. Its description in RNAcentral is "bacterial SSU rRNA". It matches the Rfam family "Bacterial small subunit ribosomal RNA", at positions 1 to 876 of the family's 1533-position model. The record is from RNAcentral.